GAUGAACGCUGGCGGCGUGCCUAAUACAUGCAAGUCGAGCGAACAGACGAGGAGCUUGCUCCUCUGACGUUAGCGGCGGACGGGUGAGUAACACGUGGAUAACCUACCUAUAAGACUGGGAUAACUUCGGGAAACCGGAGCUAAUACCGGAUAAUAUAUUGAACCGCAUGGUUCAAUAGUGAAAGACGGUUUUGCUGUCACUUAUAGAUGGAUCCGCGCCGCAUUAGCUAGUUGGUAAGGUAACGGCUUACCAAGGCAACGAUGCGUAGCCGACCUGAGAGGGUGAUCGGCCACACUGGAACUGAGACACGGUCCAGACUCCUACGGGAGGCAGCAGUAGGGAAUCUUCCGCAAUGGGUGAAAGCCUGACGGAGCAACGCCGCGUGAGUGACGAAGGUCUUCGGAUCGUAAAACUCUGUUAUUAGGGAAGAACAAAUGUGUAAGUAACUAUGCACGUCUUGACGGUACCUAAUCAGAAAGCCACGGCUAACUACGUG
Molecule: ribosomal RNA, 497 nt
Filed under: uncultured bacterium
Lineage: Bacteria
Description: partial 16S ribosomal RNA
Rfam family: Bacterial small subunit ribosomal RNA
Source: RNAcentral